RNAcentral lists this ribosomal RNA (253 nucleotides) under uncultured bacterium. RNAcentral's name for it is "partial 16S ribosomal RNA". It matches the Rfam family "Bacterial small subunit ribosomal RNA", at positions 524 to 776 of the family's 1533-position model. The record is from RNAcentral.
GACGUAGGGGGCAAGCGUUGUCCGGAAUUAUUGGGCGUAAAGCGCGCGCAGGCGGUCUCUUAAGUCUGAUGUGAAAGUCCACGGCUCAACCGUGGGAUUGCAUUGGAAACUGGGGGACUUGAGUGCAGAAGAGGAGAGUGGAAUUCCUGGUGUAGCGGUGAAAUGCGUAGAUAUCAGGAGGAACACCAAUGGCGAAGGCAGCUCUCUGGUCUGUAACUGACGCUGAGGCGCGAAAGCGUGGGUAGCAAACAGG